Long non-coding RNA from Paramisgurnus dabryanus, 205 nucleotides. RefSeq lists it as uncharacterized. The record is from RefSeq and is a predicted model, not a curated record. Lineage: Eukaryota; Metazoa; Chordata; Actinopteri; Cypriniformes; Cobitidae.
GUGGGAUUCAUGAAGAACCUCCUGAGCUCAGCUGUGUGUUCAUAAAGAGUGAUGGGUCAAUGGAGAAACGUUCUUCAUUCAGUGAGACAGACGCUCCUGCUGAUGAGAGUGAAUUUCAUGGAGAAUCUACUGAGACCAGCUGUGUGUCCAUAAAGAGUGACUGGUCAAUGAGAAAACCUCCUUCAUUCAGUGAGACUGAUGAGAG